This 28-nucleotide small RNA is filed under the name Bombyx mori (domestic silkworm). Its description in RNAcentral is "piRNA piR-bmo-2169005". The record is from RNAcentral. Lineage: Eukaryota; Metazoa; Arthropoda; Insecta; Lepidoptera; Bombycidae.
UAAACGGUGUCUCAUAAAUUGGUAGCAU